Molecule: ribosomal RNA, 497 nt
Filed under: uncultured bacterium
Lineage: Bacteria
Description: partial 16S ribosomal RNA
Rfam family: Bacterial small subunit ribosomal RNA
Source: RNAcentral
GACGAACGCUGGCGGCGUGCCUAAUACAUGCAAGUUGAGCGCUGAAGGUUGGUACUUGUACCGGCUGGAUGAGCAGCGAACGGGUGAGUAACGCGUGGGGAAUCUGCCUUUGAGCGGGGGACAACAUUUGGAAACGAAUGCUAAUACCGCAUAAAAACUUUAAACACAAGUUUUAAGUUUGAAAGAUGCAAUUGCAUCACUCAAAGAUGAUCCCGCGUUGUAUUAGCUAGUUGGUGAGGUAAAGGCUCACCAAGGCGAUGAUACAUAGCCGACCUGAGAGGGUGAUCGGCCACAUUGGGACUGAGACACGGCCCAAACUCCUACGGGAGGCAGCAGUAGGGAAUCUUCGGCAAUGGACGAAAGUCUGACCGAGCAACGCCGCGUGAGUGAAGAAGGUUUUCGGAUCGUAAAACUCUGUUGGUAGAGAAGAACGUUGGUGAGAGUGGAAAGCUCAUCAAGUGACGGUAACUACCCAGAAAGGGACGGCUAACUACGUG